This is a non-coding RNA of Caenorhabditis elegans, 150 nucleotides long. The record is from Ensembl. NCBI's taxonomy places the organism in Eukaryota, Metazoa, Nematoda, Chromadorea, Rhabditida, Rhabditidae.
AGAGAAAAACGAGGUGAACGGUGAAACAGUUUUGAACGAGAACAGGAGGCAGACAAAAAACGCAGCGUCGUAAGUGUGUGCGGCGUGUUUGCACACAACCGCGAGCACGCACAAUCUUGCAAAAAGGGGCGGGACGAAAACCGCCGUCAG